This 266-nucleotide long non-coding RNA is filed under the name Citrus sinensis (sweet orange). RNAcentral's name for it is "long non-coding RNA (CSIN_LNC005150)". The record is from RNAcentral. Lineage: Eukaryota; Viridiplantae; Streptophyta; Magnoliopsida; Sapindales; Rutaceae.
UGAAUGUUUCAAGUUUAUUUUUUGAUCCCUAAUUAUUGUUGGAUUUAUCAUAUUCUUGGUAACUCUUUCCGAAUUUUAGAUUAACCUCUUCAACUCUUUUUUCCACCACUUUUUGUUUUAUAUUCCUACUCUUUUUAUUGAAUUCCAACAUUUUAUUUGGAAAUUUCAAGUUAAAUUUCUAAAUUCCCACUUUCAAUUACAAUUUAUCAAAUUUUUAGUAAGUUGUUUCAAUUCAUUUUUCCACCGGUUAUUCGUUCUAUAUUUCC